This is a long non-coding RNA of Micropterus salmoides (largemouth bass), 849 nucleotides long. RefSeq lists it as uncharacterized. The transcript is spliced from 3 exons. The record is from RefSeq and is a predicted model, not a curated record. NCBI's taxonomy places the organism in Eukaryota, Metazoa, Chordata, Actinopteri, Centrarchiformes, Centrarchidae.
GAAGGCGGUCUUUAAAAGCUCUUGUGCAGUGUCAGAAGGGAGGCUUUUUGAUUUGGGACUGCUAGUCUUGCUGCCUCUCAGCUGGGGCAUUUUGUGGUUUGGGUCAGUGUUGGAGUGUUGUUCGCCCCAUGUAGCCACCAAAAGGACCCUCCACAGGGUACCCAGAGUUUUCUUCACCAUCCAUCCUCUACGCUCCAGGCGAGACUGGAUGAGGCUGUCUGGAUGUUUUACACUGUGGGACAGCUGUAAAAUAGAGGACACCAUCAAUCCAGCUGCCAGCCAUCUUUACACACAGGGGGGCAUAAUGAUAAAGGUUCUGCAGCAAAUAAAGGAACAACCACAUACAAUCCAAAACUGUGAAGCAGUGGGCUUCAUUGGUUUCAUUGGUUCAUUUUCUGUGAUUAAUCAAAAGUUUUGAUUUGCACAGUAAGAAAGCCAAAAUAGGUUUAAUGAUUCACAUGUUUUCUAGUAUUCACAAAAUUAAAUCAAGGAUAAAUGAAUUGACCAAAACAAAUGUUCUUGUUUCUCACACUCAGACUGCAACACCAAAAGUGUGUUACAUUAUACUCAUAUUGUGAUUGUUGAACAUCUCAUUUCAAAACCAUGAGCAUUGGGUUGAUGCCACAACAGCCUCCACUAUUCUGGUAUCAGGCUUUCCACCAGACUUUGGAAGGGAUUUGAUCAUUGACGUCCAACACUGAUGAGACCUGGCACCGUUUGCAUUCCAGUUCAUCCCAAAGGUGCUAGGUGGGGUUGAGGUUGUGGCUUUGUGCAGGCCAGUUUAUUUAUGGAUCUUGCUUUGUGCACAAGGGCACUGUCAAGAUGAAACAAUAAAGGAGCUUCCCCAAA